This 489-nucleotide ribosomal RNA is filed under the name uncultured bacterium. RNAcentral describes it as "partial 16S ribosomal RNA". It matches the Rfam family "Bacterial small subunit ribosomal RNA", at positions 28 to 507 of the family's 1533-position model. The record is from RNAcentral.
GAUGAACGCUAGCGGGAGGCCUAACACAUGCAAGCCGAGCGGGAUUUGUUGGUUAGCUUGCUAACUAACAAUGAGAGCGGCGUACGGGUGCGUAGCACGUGUGCAACCUGCCUUUAUCUGGGGGAUAGCCUUUCGAAAGGAAGAUUAAUACCCCAUAACAUAUUGAUUGGCAUCAGUUAAUAUUGAAAGCUCCGGCGGAUAGAGAUGGGCACGCGUAAGAUUAGCUAGUUGGUGAGGUAACGGCUCACCAAGGCUGCGAUCCUUAGGGGGCCUGAGAGGGUGAUCCCCCACACUGGUACUGAGACACGGACCAGACUCCUACGGGAGGCAGCAGUGAGGAAUAUUGGACAAUGGGUGAGAGCCUGAUCCAGCCAUCCCGCGUGAAGGACUAAGGACCUAUGGUUUGUAAACUUCUUUUAUACAGGGAUAAACCUACUCUCGUGAGGGUAGCUGAAGGUACUGUAUGAAUAAGCACCGGCUAACUCCGUG